GCUUAAAGUCUGCAUGGCCUAAAGCCGGAAAAGCAAGAGCCUCCUUCCCGAGCGGGAAGGAGGCUCUUGCUCUUUUGGCAU
This 81-nucleotide small RNA is filed under the name Paenibacillus sp. P22. Its description in RNAcentral is "ctRNA". The record is from RNAcentral. Lineage: Bacteria; Bacillati; Bacillota; Bacilli; Caryophanales; Paenibacillaceae.